RNAcentral lists this ribosomal RNA (388 nucleotides) under uncultured bacterium. RNAcentral describes it as "bacterial SSU rRNA". It matches the Rfam family "Bacterial small subunit ribosomal RNA", at positions 31 to 415 of the family's 1533-position model. The record is from RNAcentral.
GAACGCUGGCGGCGUGCCUAACACAUGCAAGUCGAACGGCAGCAUGGUCUAGUUUACUAGAUUGAUGGCGAGUGGCGGACGGGUGAGUAACGCGUAGGAAUAUGCCCUGAAGUGGGGGAUAACUUGGGGAAACUCAAGCUAAUACCGCAUAAGCUCUGAGGAGUAAAGCUAGGGACCUUCGGGCCUGGCGCUUUGGGAUUAGCCUGCGUACGAUUAGCUAGUUGGUAGGGUAAAGGCCUACCAAGGCGACGAUCGUUAGCUGGUCUGAGAGGAUGGCCAGCCACACUGGAACUGAGACACGGUCCAGACUCCUACGGGAGGCAGCAGUGGGGAAUAUUGGACAAUGGGGGCAACCCUGAUCCAGCAAUGCCGCGUGUGUGAAGAAGGC